ACUAAUAGGGAACGUGAGCUGGGUUUAGACCGUCGUGAGACAGGUUAGUUUUACCCUACCAACGACAAUAAAAAAAGUCAUUGGUAAAACUUGUCGUAAUAGUAAUUGAACUUAGUACGAGAGGAACUGUUCAUUCGGACCACUGGAAUUUGCAGUUGUUUGAAAACACAGUGCUGCGAGGCUACGUCCGUUGGUUAACGGUUGAACGCCUCUAAACCGGAAACCAUGCUAGAUUCUAACGGCAAGAGUUAAAUUACAAAUAUUGAACGGAGGGUUAAGAUUAAAGUGCAACUAUAAAAGACUAAAAAUCUUUAUUAAUAGCCAAACGUGAUGACAAGUAAAAUUGGAUCAUUAACUGAUUUUAAUUGUGUCACAUUUCAAAUAGAAAAAUCUCCCACCGUUUUAAAAUCCUUUGAAGACGACUUAAAAUUCACGA
This 436-nucleotide ribosomal RNA is filed under the name uncultured eukaryote. Its description in RNAcentral is "eukaryotic LSU rRNA". It matches the Rfam family "Eukaryotic large subunit ribosomal RNA", at positions 2939 to 3328 of the family's 3401-position model. The record is from RNAcentral.